Long non-coding RNA from Malaclemys terrapin pileata, 457 nucleotides. RefSeq lists it as uncharacterized. The transcript has 3 exons. The record is from RefSeq and is a predicted model, not a curated record. Lineage: Eukaryota; Metazoa; Chordata; Testudines; Emydidae.
UAGACAGACAGAGGGAUUCUAGUUACCGGAAACCUUCAUGUGGCAACUGGAUUUAUUGGAUAUGUGUCCUGUAUAUUGGGACAGCCCAGACUUGAGCCAGAAUUCUUACACUUUAUCAGAAGUUGUGUACGAAGCAAACACCAGUUGGCUUCCAUGAACACUGGAGUCAAUGAGAUCAUUCAGAUGAGUAACUGCUCAUCUACGUUCUAAUUAAAAUAAGAACUGAUCCAAAGCAACACCCUAAACUCAGACUGAGCCGAGUGAGGCAUACCGCUCAACUGUCUCUCCUUUUAGCCCCAGAUGACCUACAUCUCACAUGUUGUGGAGUUUCCAUUUCGUUCAGCAAAAUUCAAUAUCUUCCAUUGUUUGUGCUGUUGUUGUAGCCAUGUUGUUACUCUGCGCACCUUGCCCAGACCUGAAGAAGAACUCUGUGUAGCUUGAAAGCUUGUCUCUUCCA